Molecule: non-coding RNA, 46 nt
Organism: Acyrthosiphon pisum (pea aphid)
Lineage: Eukaryota; Metazoa; Arthropoda; Insecta; Hemiptera; Aphididae
Source: Rfam
AAAACGGCCCUUUUCAGGGCCACCAAUUUCUAUUAUUAUUAUUUAG